Molecule: ribosomal RNA, 253 nt
Filed under: uncultured bacterium
Lineage: Bacteria
Description: partial 16S ribosomal RNA
Rfam family: Bacterial small subunit ribosomal RNA
Source: RNAcentral
UACGGGGGGAGCAAACGUUGUUCGGAAUCACUGGGCUUAAAGGGCGCGUAGGCGGGCUGUCAAGUCUGGGGUGAAAUGCCGCGGCUCAACCGUGGAACUGCCUUAGAUACUGACGGCCUCGAGGGAGGUAGGGGCGUGCGGAACUGUAGGUGGAGCGGUGAAAUGCGUUGAUAUCUACAGGAACUCCGGUGGCGAAAGCGGCGCGCUGGACCUCUUCUGACGCUGAGGCGCGAAAGCUAGGGGAGCAAACGGG